AGUUUUAUUUUGGAAACCCCAACACUUGAUUUUGCUAAGAUCCCAAUUUCUUUCAUUGUAUGGUUUUGUUCUUGCUUCCACUGUCUGGGUUUCUUCUUGCGUAUUGGGUUCGUAUCGUACUUAUUCCGAUUUCGUUUCAAUUACUCUGUUUUAUUCUCAGUGAACGGUUAUCUUCACCCAUCUUUAAAGAGCUCAAAGUUUAAGCUUUUUAUGUUUCUGCAAUGUCUUUACAGAAAAUAGUUUCUUUGUCUUCCCAAAUUGAUAUGCUGAUGAAUCAUUAGUAAUGAGUACCUUAUUUGUCUCAGAUAUUUUAAGGAAGCCAAACAUUAACCCUGUUGUCUGUUUAUUUGACCCUGGAGAAAAGACUUCUGUGGAGGGUCCUGUCACACCUUUUAUUCUCCAUAAUUCUUUUUCUCUGCUUAUGUAUUUCCAGCUAAUAAGUAUAAGUGUUCUUGCUUUGAAACUUGGACUUUAUUAUAUGUACUGAUGCUUUUUGAUCAGCUUAAUGAGCAGCGUCAAACUGAUUCCUGAGCAGCGUCGAACUGGUGGAAGGGUGAUAUGGAGAGCAGGAAGCGUGAUGGUGGUUUAUCAUGGAUGUAUCUUCAGCUGGCAUUAAAGCAACAAAAUGCCAAGUAGUCUAAACGCACCUCCGGAAAUCAAAGAUCCGAUUGUCAAGAACCCGAUUCGCAAGGAGAGUAUGACAGAAGAAGAAUCUGAGUUUAACAGUCUAUUAAACAGCUUAGGCUCACGUUUUCACGAGUGGUGGGGUACUGGUGUGAUUCCGGUGAGCGCUGACUUACUACCUCAUACGAUUCCCGGUUAAAAAACACAUUUCAGGCUUCUUCCUAUAAAACUCUCCCUUGCCAUUUUGCUCUUGGUAGGAACAGGAAUCACUAAGAAUUGGCAACGCUAUACUUAAGCCCUGGGAGAAAAGUUUGAUUGCAAAGAUUGCCGUGAAGCGAGGUAUCCAGAAUUCAAAUAACAAACUGAUGGCGGAUGAGAUAUUAGUGUUUGUACAUAAUUCUCUUUCUCUGCUUAUGUAUUUCCAGCUUAGAAAUAAAAGGGAAAACAGAAUUUAAUAUAAAAAAUAAGUCAAUGUUU
Raphanus sativus (radish) is the source of this 1101-nucleotide long non-coding RNA. RefSeq lists it as uncharacterized. The record is from RefSeq and is a predicted model, not a curated record. Lineage: Eukaryota; Viridiplantae; Streptophyta; Magnoliopsida; Brassicales; Brassicaceae. The transcript is spliced from 3 exons.